Molecule: long non-coding RNA, 1316 nt
Organism: Pseudopipra pipra
Lineage: Eukaryota; Metazoa; Chordata; Aves; Passeriformes; Pipridae
Exons: 2
Source: RefSeq, a predicted model, not a curated record
CAAAACAAACUCCCAAAAACAAACAAACAAACAAACAAAACCACCACCACCACCCCCCAAACUAUCUGUUAUACAUUGGUCCCACCAGCAUUAUGUACUGUCUGACCAUGCAGCACAGCUUGUCUCUGACAGUUUGGUUCUAAGAGGAUUUUCUUAGUAGAUGGAAAAUUCCUUUGCACCUCAAUCUAGAGGAGUUCAAGCCCCCAGUGUCCACAUCACAGAAGACAACACAGCUCCAUAGGUGGUCCAGUGUUUGUUCUUGCUGAAUAUAAACCACUCUGCUACAUGGGUUCACGGAAGCAAGAUGAGGAUGACUUUAAAGGCUUGGGGUUUAGGAACAGAGGAUGUUAGGACUCCUUUUUUGCUUUACCCAAAAUUAAAUGCAAUGCUUGAUCCUGGGAUCAAGGACCUGAACCUCAGGCUCUCCUUUCCUAUGCAAGUUCUUUGCUUACUGGUGUUAUUAAGAACAUACCUCCAUGAGUUAUGCCAUUUCUUAUGUAAUCAGCAGAAACAGACUAUUUUCUCAAGGUCAUUAGUUGCAAUAGAGCCCCAAUAUUCAAUGGUUUUGGGCAUAUGUUCAUUUAAGAUAGAAGAAGUAUAUAUUGAAUUACUCCUUUCCUAAUUCUAGCUCGUAGAAAGUGAACAUUCAGUUCUGAAUUUGAGGAAAUCAACAGCUUUGUAGUCUAAAUACAAGCCAAAGUUUUAUCCAUGAUGUUGACCAGAGUAUUUUCCAUUAGCUUUGGUACAAACCCAGAACUACUCAGUUAAGAUGCAGUGAUUUCCAGUAGAGUUGAUUUACACAGUUUUAACCAAUAUCUGUCUCCAUCUCAGUAUGCCACACAGCUGAACAAAUGUUGCUGAAACACUGUUCUGCAGGAGGCUGAAUAUCCUCUCUUCCAGUGGAAGGUCCAGCCUGCUGCUCACUGCAGUCUCCAAGAAGUUUUCCAUGGCUUCAGGAUGCACUGGAGUUGGCCAAGAGUCUGUUCCUUUUAAGCAGCAAACUGGUUUAGCUAGCACAACCAGCGCUUUGCAGACAACUCAGCAAUUAUGGGAUCAUAUAGCUACAGUGCCUGCAGAUAGAUCCAGAGCAUGAGAGUGAAGACUCGGACCAAGAUAUGUAGCCAUUUCAUAGAGCACCACCUUACUAGUUCACAGGUAUUUCCUGCAGCUUGUGUUGUACUCCCAGAUUAUUUUCACGUAACUCAUCUAGACUUUAGAGUGGUGAGGCACUGAUUCUGACCAAAUGGUCUGCAACGGGAUUUUCUCCUGGUAAAGUGUUUGUCCCCAGGCCAAUAAAAAUGAAGCUUUUCUGUCAA